Non-coding RNA from Dermacentor andersoni, 186 nucleotides. NCBI's taxonomy places the organism in Eukaryota, Metazoa, Arthropoda, Arachnida, Ixodida, Ixodidae. The record is from RefSeq and is a predicted model, not a curated record.
AUACACAUGGCCGACGCGGAUCAAUAUGCCGCAUCUGUUCUGAUCAGCUUGAUAUCGUACACGGGUUCUAUUUGGACCCAAGGUGGUAUACACGCUUUUGCAAGUUGACGCAGCACUUGAAGCCUGCUUCACCUCCGCUGCAGGUCGGCCCGUUAUUGCGCUAUCUCCGGGAUCGGCCAACGGUUU